This 73-nucleotide transfer RNA is filed under the name Candidatus Melainabacteria bacterium. RNAcentral's name for it is "tRNA-Glu". It matches the Rfam family "tRNA". Rfam says of the family: Transfer RNA (tRNA) molecules are approximately 80 nucleotides in length. Their secondary structure includes four short double-helical elements and three loops (D, anti-codon, and T loops). The record is from RNAcentral. RNAcentral also lists the same sequence under 1 other name. Lineage: Bacteria; Bacillati; Candidatus Melainabacteria.
GGCGCUAUCUUCUAAUUGGUCAGGAAAUCAGGCUUUCAAUCUGGGAACGCGGGUUCGAACCCCGCUAGCGCUA